This 482-nucleotide ribosomal RNA is filed under the name uncultured bacterium. RNAcentral's name for it is "partial 16S ribosomal RNA". It matches the Rfam family "Bacterial small subunit ribosomal RNA", at positions 30 to 507 of the family's 1533-position model. The record is from RNAcentral.
AUUGAACGCUGGCGGCAUGCCUUACACAUGCAAAUCGAACGGUAACGGGCCUUCGGGUGCCGACGAGUGGCGAACGGGUGAGUAAUACAUCGGAACGUGCCCGAACGUGGGGGAUAACGAGGGGAAAGCUUUGCUAAUACCGCAUACGAUCUACGGAGGAAAGCAGGGGAACGCAAGGCCUUGCGGGGACGGAGGGGCCGAUGGCAGAUUAGGUAGUUGGUGGGAUAAAAGCUUACCAAGCCGACGAUCUGUAGCUGGUCUGAGAGGAUGAUCAGCCACACUGGGACUGAGACACGGCCCAGACUCCUACGGGAGGCAGCAGUGGGGAAUUUUGGACAAUGGGCGCAAGCCUGAUCCAGCCAUGCCGCGUGCAGGAUGAAGGCCUUCGGGUUGUAAACUGAUUUUGUACGGAACGAAAAGCCUUCUUUUAAUACAGGAGGGUCAUGACGGUACCGUAAGAAUAAGCACCGGCUAACUACGUG